UACGUAGGCAGCGAGCGUUGUUCGGAAUUACUGGGCGUAAAGAGUGUGUAGGCGGUGCUCUAAGUUCGGUGUGAAAUCUCCUGGCUUAACUGGGAGGGUGCGCCGAAAACUGGAGUGCUCGAGCGUGGGAGAGGAAAGCGGAAUUCCUGGUGUAGCGGUGAAAUGCGUAGAUAUCAGGAGGAACACCUGCGGGGUAGACGGCUUUCUGGACCAUUGCUGACGCUGAGACGCGAAAGCGUGGGGAGCGAACAGG
RNAcentral lists this ribosomal RNA (253 nucleotides) under uncultured bacterium. Its description in RNAcentral is "partial 16S ribosomal RNA". It matches the Rfam family "Bacterial small subunit ribosomal RNA", at positions 524 to 776 of the family's 1533-position model. The record is from RNAcentral.